Molecule: ribosomal RNA, 443 nt
Filed under: uncultured bacterium
Lineage: Bacteria
Description: partial 16S ribosomal RNA
Rfam family: Bacterial small subunit ribosomal RNA
Source: RNAcentral
CCUACGGGAGGCAGCAGUGGGGAAUAUUGGACAAUGGGGGGAACCCUGAUCCAGCGACGCCGCGUGAGUGAAGAAGUAUUUCGGUAUGUAAAGCUCUAUCAGCAGGGAAGAAAGAAAUGACGGUACCUGACUAAGAAGCCCCGGCUAACUACGUGCCAGCAGCCGCGGAAACACGUAGGGGGCAAGCGUGAUCCGGAUUUACUGGGUGUAAAGGGAGCGUAGACGGUUACGCAAGUCUGGAGUGAAAGGCGGGGGCCCAACCCCCGGACUGCUUUGGAAACUGUAUAACUGGAGUGCAGGGGAGGUAAGUGGAAUUCUUGGUGUAGCGGUGAAAUGCGAAGAUAUUAGGAGGAACACCAGUGGCGAAGGCGGCUUACUGGACUGUAACUGACGUUGAGGCUCGAAAGCGUGGGGAGCAAACAGGAUUAGAUACCCCUGUAGUC